Molecule: ribosomal RNA, 389 nt
Filed under: uncultured bacterium
Lineage: Bacteria
Description: bacterial SSU rRNA
Rfam family: Bacterial small subunit ribosomal RNA
Source: RNAcentral
GACGAACGCUGGCGGCGUGCUUAACACAUGCAAGUCGAGCGGUAAGGCCCUUUCGGGGGUACACGAGCGGCGAACGGGUGAGUAACACGUGGGUGACCUGCCUUUAGCUCUGGGAUAAGCCUGGGAAACCGGGUCUAAUACCGGAUAUGACUCCGCGGCGCAUGUUGUGGGGUGGAAAGCCUUGUGCGGCUGGAGAUGGGCCCGCGGCCUAUCAGCUUGUUGGUGGGGUGAUGGCCUACCAAGGCGACGACGGGUAGCCGGCCUGAGAGGGCGACCGGCCACACUGGGACUGAGACACGGCCCAGACUCCUACGGGAGGCAGCAGUGGGGAAUCUUGCGCAAUGGGGCGAAAGCCUGACGCAGCGACGCCGCGUGAGGGAUGACGGCCU